Molecule: ribosomal RNA, 253 nt
Filed under: uncultured bacterium
Lineage: Bacteria
Description: partial 16S ribosomal RNA
Rfam family: Bacterial small subunit ribosomal RNA
Source: RNAcentral
UACAGAGGGGGCAAGCGUUGUUCGGAAUUACUGGGCGUAAAGGGCUCGUAGGUGGCCCACUAAGUCGGACGUGAAAUCCCUCAGCUUAACUGGGGAACUGCGUCCGAUACUGGAUGGCUCGAGUUUGGGAGAGGGAUGCGGAAUUCCAGGUGUAGCGGUGAAAUGCGUAGAUAUCUGGAGGAACACCGGUGGCGAAGGCGGCAUCCUGGACCAACACUGACACUGAGGAGCGAAAGCCAGGGGAGCAAACGGG